Molecule: long non-coding RNA, 927 nt
Filed under: Chinchilla lanigera (long-tailed chinchilla)
Lineage: Eukaryota; Metazoa; Chordata; Mammalia; Rodentia; Chinchillidae
Description: lncRNA (ENSCLAG00000028111.1)
Source: RNAcentral
AGUGAAACCACUGCCUUUAAGUGUUAAAGAGUUUACCAGACCUGAAUUUCAACACCUUUGUGAGGAUUCCACCACACCAGCUCCAGAAUUCCAGACCUCCCCACCCAGGCCACCAAUUAAGCUACAGCCUCUGUGCUCACUCCCCUUUCUUUCCCUGUGCGAUCGCGGUCUCCUGUGUGCACUUGGAACUGACUUCCUCGGAAUUAUUUAGACAAGACAUGCUAUAAAGGAAACGUGAUGAUUCAACCAAAGAAAGCAACCUCACAUAAAUGCCUCCUUGGACACAGACCAAGAUUAACAAGCAAACUUUAUUCUUCACCAACACAAGUCUCUCUAAGUGUAGCUAAGACUUUCUCAGAAAAGAAGGAAAUCUCUUCAAAGAAGAUUGAAAAUAAAGUCUCUUUAGACAUUACUGGAAAGAGAGUAACUUCAAGGAGUACUGAAAAGAAGGAUAUCUUAAAUCUACAGUCUGACCUAUGGUCAUCUUACUUGAAAGAAAGUGCAGGUAAAGGGGGCAAAGAUGCAGUCAUUGCAAAGCAGGAGAAAAUUGAUGACUAUCUCCUUCAAGAUAUUAAUAAGUUGUCAGAAUCACUGGAUGAUGGUGAAGGUGAUACCAAUGAUGAAGACAGUAACCCUAAAAAAGAUACUCGUGCCCCAUUAGAGUUAAUGGCAGAAUUCCUGAGAGCUGAAAUGGGCCGAGACUACCACCUGGCAAAAAAAUUAUGUCAGAUGAUUCUUAUCUAUGAGCCAGAAAAUCUUGAGGCCAAGGAAUUUUCCUUACUUAUUGAAGAAAUGUUGCUGAAAGAGGAAGCUCAGAACCUUGAGGAAAAUGAGGAAGAGAGCGAAGAAGACAGCAGCACUGAGAGUGAGGAAAGCAGUGAGGACAUGAGCGACGAGAGCUCUGAUGAAUGCAAAGAUGGGUCGUGA